AUGGAUGCCUACAUGAAUUUAGCUGCAAGUGCUGCUGAUGCAGCUGAGUACUUCAAGGAUCAGAAAGGUCCCAAAGUGGAAAAGCUGUUCUGGUCACAGUUUCACGCUCCAAUCCGUCCGCUGCUGUUGAAUGAGCCAUUGGCCGAGUGGGCCGAGCUCCAUAGGUUGUCCGGACUUGCCAUGAGGUCCGUUGUGGAUCACCUGUGGCCGGGAAGGCCAAGGCCGAAUAGCUACUUUAGUUUAGUGCAACAAUUCCUUGGUGUUGUGCCACGCAUCGAUGCUGUAAAGAGAUCGGCGUGCAUAGAGGGUGCGCGGAUGGCCUUUUCCCGUGUCAAGACAUACUGGGCGGAGAUGGAGGCCACCAUUGUUGCGACACAGGGUUCGGCCGUAGGCCGAGUAGCUGCCGAGCACUACUCUGAAGAAGUUCUUGAAGGCGCUCGUUCGAUAGAGGCUCAGUGCUUGAAGAAUAUUAUGUUCUAG
RNAcentral lists this ribosomal RNA (480 nucleotides) under Triticum aestivum (bread wheat). RNAcentral describes it as "partial small subunit ribosomal RNA". The record is from RNAcentral. Lineage: Eukaryota; Viridiplantae; Streptophyta; Magnoliopsida; Poales; Poaceae.